Molecule: ribosomal RNA, 920 nt
Filed under: uncultured bacterium
Lineage: Bacteria
Description: bacterial SSU rRNA
Rfam family: Bacterial small subunit ribosomal RNA
Source: RNAcentral
ACGCUGGCGGCGUGCCUAAUACAUGCAAGUAGAACGCUGAAGAGAGGAGCUUGCUCUUCUUGAAUGAGUUGCGAACGGGUGAGUAACGCGUAGGUAACCUGCCUUGUAGCGGGGGAUAACUAUUGGAAACGAUAGCUAAUACCGCAUAACAAUGGGUGACACAUGUCAUUUAUUUGAAAGGGGCAAUUGCUCCACUACAAGAUGGACCUGCGUUGUAUUAGCUAGUAGGUGAGGUAACGGCUCACCUAGGCGACGAUACAUAGCCGACCUGAGAGGGUGAUCGGCCACACUGGGACUGAGACACGGCCCAGACUCCUACGGGAGGCAGCAGUAGGGAAUCUUCGGCAAUGGGGGCAACCCUGACCGAGCAACGCCGCGUGAGUGAAGAAGGUUUUCGGAUCGUAAAGCUCUGUUGUAAGUCAAGAACGAGUGUGAGAGUGGAAAGUUCACACUGUGACGGUAGCUUACCAGAAAGGGACGGCUAACUACGUGCCAGCAGCCGCGGUAAUACGUAGGUCCCGAGCGUUGUCCGGAUUUAUUGGGCGUAAAGCGAGCGCAGGCGGUUUGAUAAGUCUGAAGUUAAAGGCUGUGGCUCAACCAUAGUUCGCUUUGGAAACUGUCAAACUUGAGUGCAGAAGGGGAGAGUGGAAUUCCAUGUGUAGCGGUGAAAUGCGUAGAUAUAUGGAGGAACACCGGUGGCGAAAGCGGCUCUCUGGUCUGUAACUGACGCUGAGGCUCGAAAGCGUGGGGAGCGAACAGGAUUAGAUACCCUGGUAGUCCACGCCGUAAACGAUGAGUGCUAGGUGUUGGAUCCUUUCCGGGAUUCAGUGCCGCAGCUAACGCACUAAGCACUCCGCCUGGGGAGUACGACCGCAAGGUUGAAACUCAAAGGAAUUGACGGGGGCCCGCACAAGCGGUGG